GCAAGUUGAACGGUAAGGCCUUCUCUCGGAAGUACACGAGCGGCGAACGGGUGAAUCAACGUGAGUAAUCCUUGCCCUUUCACUCUCGGGAUAAGCUCUCGGAGACGGGGUCUAAUACCGGAUACGACACUUUCAGGCAUCUGAUGAGUGUGGGAAAGUUUUUUUUCGGUGGGGGAUGUGCUUCGCGGCCUAUUCAGCUUUGUUUGGUGGGGUAAAUGGCCUACCAAGGCUUCGACGGGUAGCCGGCCUGAGAGGGUGACCGGCCACACUGGGACUGAGACACGGCCCAGACUCCUACGGGAGGCAGCAGUGGGGAAUAUUUGGACAAUGGGCGGAAGCCUGAUCCAGCAACGCCGCGUGAGGGAUGACGGCCUUCGGGUCGUAAACCUCUUUCAGUACCGACGAAGCGAGAGUGACGGUAGGUACAGAAGAAGCACCGGCCAACUACGUGCCAGCAGCCGCGGUAAUACGUACGGUGCGAGCGUUGUCCGGAAUUAUUGGGCGUAAAGGGCUCGUAGGCGGUUUGUCGCGUCGGGAGUGAAAACACCGGGCUUAACUCGUGCUUGCUUUCGAUACGGCAAGACUAGAGGUAUGCCAGGGGAGAACGGAAUUUCUUGGUUGUAGCGGUGAAAUGCGCAGAUAUUCAGGAGGAAC
RNAcentral lists this ribosomal RNA (654 nucleotides) under uncultured bacterium. RNAcentral describes it as "bacterial SSU rRNA". It matches the Rfam family "Bacterial small subunit ribosomal RNA", at positions 57 to 707 of the family's 1533-position model. The record is from RNAcentral.